Molecule: long non-coding RNA, 213 nt
Filed under: Elaeis guineensis (African oil palm)
Lineage: Eukaryota; Viridiplantae; Streptophyta; Magnoliopsida; Arecales; Arecaceae
Description: long non-coding RNA (EGUI_LNC037688)
Source: RNAcentral
AGUGCAUCCAUAGGCAAGUUCAUAACCAAUUAUUUCUCUAAACAACUUCUAGCAAUUAGGUUUUGCCCCAGGCAUUCCUUUAGUAGGCGUGUGGUGCCUCCACUGAAAAUCUUGGUUAGGUCCGACCAUUAACAUGACAAUACCAAGUGCAUCCAACAAAUGAAUAUUCAGGUCUAAAUAUGGCUCGACAAACCUGAGCAAAGGUACAUCAUG